This 467-nucleotide ribosomal RNA is filed under the name uncultured bacterium. RNAcentral describes it as "partial 16S ribosomal RNA". It matches the Rfam family "Bacterial small subunit ribosomal RNA", at positions 29 to 507 of the family's 1533-position model. The record is from RNAcentral.
ACGAACGCUGGCGGCGUGCUUAACACAUGCACGUCGAACGGAAAGGCCCUGCUUUUGUGGGGUGCUCGAGUGGCGAACGGGUGAGUAACCCGUGGGUAACCUGCCCUUGACUUUGGGUAAACUUCAGGAAACGGGGGCUAAAACCGGAAAGGGGCCCCUGCGGCUGGGGGGGGGUGGGAAGGUUUCGGCGGUUGGGGAUGGACUCGCGGCUUAUCAGCUUGUUGGUGGGGUAGUGGCUUACCAAGGCUUUGACGGGUAGCCGGCCUGAGAGGGUGACCGGCCACAUUGGGACUGAGAUACGGCCCAGACUCCUACGGGAGGCAGCAGUGGGGAAUAUUGCACAAUGGGCGGAAGCCUGAUGCAGCAACGCCGCGUGCGGGAUGACGGCCUUCGGGUUGUAAACCGCUUUCGCCUGUGACGAAGCGUGAGUGACGGUAAUGGGUAAAGAAGCACCGGCUAACUACGUG